RNAcentral lists this ribosomal RNA (471 nucleotides) under uncultured bacterium. RNAcentral's name for it is "bacterial SSU rRNA". It matches the Rfam family "Bacterial small subunit ribosomal RNA", at positions 355 to 825 of the family's 1533-position model. The record is from RNAcentral.
UUUCGAAUCAUUCACAAUGGGCGAAAGCCUGAUGGUGCGACGCCGCGUGAGGGAUGAAGGCCUUCGGGUUGUAAACCUCUGUCACCGGGGAAGAAACGCUUCAAGUUAACAGCUUGAAGCCUGACUUAACCCGGAGAGGAAGCAGUGGCUAACUCUGUGCCAGCAGCCGCGGUAAUACAGAGACUGCAAGCGUUAUUCGGAUUCACUGGGCGUAAAGGGUGCGCAGGCGGUUGGGUGUGUCAGAUGUGAAAUCCCGAGGCUUAACCUCGGAACUGCGUCUGAAACUACUCGACUAGAGUACUGGAGAGGGUAACGGAAUUCACGGUGUAGCAGUGAAAUGCGUAGAUAUCGUGAGGAACACCAGAGGCGAAGGCGGUUACCUGGACAGUUACUGACGCUCAGGCACGAAAGCAUGGGGAGCAAAAGGGAUUAGAUACCCCAGUAGUCCCUGAGCGGGCUGGCAAGGCGCAU